GGGGGUGAUCGGUUUCGACAGGGAUAUAGAGGAUUGUUGAUGCAUACCGGGGAGAUUACCUACCCGUAAAACACGGUGAUACUUAAAUGUAAAUGCAAACUAUGAUUAUGCAUUAGCAGCAUAAGCUGCUACGUUUAUGUCCGAUUUGCUGUCGGUUGGAUAAUAAGCGUCGUAAUUGACAGCUGCUCAGUUGAGAGUCGUCAUGGUUCAACUGCUAAGAUUAGUGACUGGCUUCUUUGCAACUGGUUUGAUUGUUUCCCUGCAUAGCAAGUGAGAUCUAAAAACAACUAAGUAUGUAGAGUCAGCUUUUGGCUUAUCUCUGGACGCGGGUUCGAUUCCCGCCACCUCCACCA
This 353-nucleotide transfer-messenger RNA is filed under the name Candidatus Cloacimonadota bacterium. It matches the Rfam family "transfer-messenger RNA". From Rfam's summary of the family: Bacterial tmRNA, also known as 10Sa RNA or SsrA, is named for its dual tRNA and mRNA-like properties. Its role is to liberate the mRNA from a stalled ribosome. To accomplish this part of the tmRNA is used as a reading frame that ends in a translation stop signal. Lineage: Bacteria; Pseudomonadati; Candidatus Cloacimonadota. RNAcentral also lists the same sequence under 1 other name. The record is from RNAcentral.